GUGGCAAGCGUUGUCCGGAUUUAUUGGGCGUAAAGCGAGUGCAGGCGGCUCAAUAAGUCUGCUGUGAAAGCCCUCGGCUCAACCGGAGAAUUGCAUCAGAAACUGUUGAACUUGAGUGCAGAAGAGGAGAGUGGAACUCCAUGUGUAGCGGUGGAAUGCGUAGAUAUAUGGAAGAACACCAGUGGCGAAGGCGGCUCUCUGGUCUGCAACUGACGCUGAGGUUCGAAAGCGUGGGUAGCAAAC
RNAcentral lists this ribosomal RNA (243 nucleotides) under uncultured bacterium. Its description in RNAcentral is "partial 16S ribosomal RNA". It matches the Rfam family "Bacterial small subunit ribosomal RNA", at positions 531 to 773 of the family's 1533-position model. The record is from RNAcentral.